Molecule: RNA transcript, 4256 nt
Organism: Bombus huntii
Lineage: Eukaryota; Metazoa; Arthropoda; Insecta; Hymenoptera; Apidae
Gene name: tumor protein D54
Exons: 6
Source: RefSeq, a predicted model, not a curated record
UUUCGCGUUUCAUUCGUCCGUUUAUUCUACGAACCUUGCUGUCAACUAGUCUAACGUGAUUCGAUCGAUAUUGAAUAAAUAAAGAGAUAAGCAAGUGAACGAAUCGAAUGAUAAUUAAAUUUUCGCUUCGAUACCUCGAGAAGAAAGAAAAACGAGUAACUCCGCUGACAUGAAAACCGAUAUGCCGGACGUUAAACAGGACCAGGCUAAAGUCGAAGAUCGCCGAGGUUCUUCGAAACAAAGUACGAGAUCGAGAGUGUGUACGGGCCACGGUGAACAGGAUUGCUCGAGUGAAAACGAACACGAGUUGGAGUCGCUGGAGUACGAGGAAGACGUUUAUUAUUCGAAUUUAACUGCAACUCCCAGCUUCGACGACAUAGACGAGCUGAGCGACGAUGCGGACGAAAUUAUUGUCCAUUGCUGGCGGGACUCGAACGGUGAUAUAGACGAGAUCGUGGUUGACGAUGCGAAUCUAUCGGUGGAGACGCAGUUUUUGACGCCUGACGGCGAGGACGGCGCCACUGGUCACGGAAAGAAAAAGAGGAAAUCAGUUCGAGUGAUAUUCCAGGACUUCUCGAAGCCGUAUCUGGCCAAGAUCAGCAACAGCCAAAAUUACAAGAAGUUCCUCGAGUUGGUAAAAGGAGAAGACGCGACUCUUCACUCGGCCGAUUACAUCUCGCCAACGUCAGAUAACGUAGUGAACGAGCUGCAAGGACUCUCUCUGGAAGAACAGAAUCGCCAAAAGGAGGAAUGGAGCGCGGAACUGGCCAAGGUGGAAGAGGAGAUUCAAACCCUGAGGCACGUGUUGGCGAACAAGAUCAGAGUCUCUCAAGAGCUGAAGAGGAAGCUGGGCAUCAGCGUUUGGAAAGAGAUCACCGACGACAUGAAUCAGGGCUUGAAAAACGUUAAGGAGAGUCAAGUACAUGUAGAACACUUUUCUUUGACUUUUGGUUGGGUUCUCAUUCAGUUAUCAGAACGUCGGCGAGAAACUCGGUCAGUUCAGCAAGGCGGUCACCGAGAACACUUUAUUCCAGAAGACAGAGUCUGUAUUCAAGACCACGGCUGAGAAGACGACCAGCAUUCUUGGCGGCUUCGGAAGUGGAUUAUCCAUGAAGCUCGGCCAGAUGCGUAACUCCGACAGCUUCCGUUCCCUAGAGGAACGAGUUGGAUCUGCCUACGAGAACAUGAAGACGAAAGUCGUGCCUUCAAGAUCCAGCUCAAUGCAAAGCUUCAAUGAGAUGCUUCGAGACACGGAAUCGUUACGCUCGGCGCCAACAGCUACCAGCCCGACCAUUCCGGAAGACAAACUUCUGUCUUAGAGUUGGGCAUCUCGAGUUUACAUCGAUUUCUGCCUCUUCUCUGCGUAACAUGCUGACGCGUCGAUCCACGAUGCCGGUGUUUCGCCCUAUGCUACAAACUAUCACUUUCCACUGCGUAUUGCUAUUAAUCAGGGCUAUGCGAUGUCGUCUACGUAAUCGAACGUCUAUUAAAACGAAACAAAAAAGUAAAAAAAAAAAAGUCAAGUCAGUCGUGGAAAAUGAGUUGGCUUCGCGGAUAUCGAUCGGUAUGAUGCAACGAUUCGAACAAUUUGUGUAUUUUGGAUGUUUCCUUGCGUGCACAAAGCUGUGUAGGACAGUGGACGUUGUUGGAAGCAACUUGAUGUUUCUUCGUGAUUUAAUAAGUUGCACGAUAUGCCCUGUUGAGAACAGAAAAGCUAAUUUGUGAUCCUUUCUUUUCUUUAGUGAUUAUUUUUGUUUAUUUUUUUUUUUUUUUUUUUACGGAUUGAUUUUUAGAAAUGCGUGGAGAAAUCUUGUUGAUUUUUAACAUGUGACGUUUCUUUUAUUUUGUUUCUCCUUUUUCUUUUUUGUUGUUUAAAGAACAUGCAGGAUCUCUGUGUUAAUUGAUCCUUUUACGGUGACAAGCUUAUCAGCGUUGUAUCAAUAGUUUGCGUUUCUUCGUAUCGGGAACAUGUUACUCAAGAAGAUGGCAAUUGAUUUCUUUACUUUAUCGAACUUAUUUGCACUACAGCGAUUUUAAUAACGUAUAAUAUAAUAUAUCGUUGGAUACGUACCUUAACGUUUAGCGGUUCAACCUGUUUUUGCACCACGAAUUCGUGAAAGUAGGCACACACGCUUUGAAUAGAUAUUUUACUCUGGUGGCGUUCUCGUCCCUUUCCGGAUAUCGAUAAUCUUAACAUCAGAAACGAUACCUCGAUGUAUUCCUAUGACAUACGAAUUCUGACUAGCAAUCUUCUUCGAUAAGACUCGUGCUUCGACAAUACUAUCUAUUUUCGUGUGAUAGAAAAUGAUCGAUCUGUAUCGUGCAGUCUAUUUGAAAAUAAUUCGAAUUCGUGCAGUAACAUUUGUAGAGUUUCCAGGAUUACUUUACGCGGGACACAGGUGGCCGCCAUUGUUUCACAAUUAUUCGAUUCAUCUCAAAUAUUCCCGAAAAUAUUUCUGAAUAGGUAUCUAUCUUUGUACGUUGAUAAAUGUCCUUAUAAUUACGUUAUGAAACAUUUUAUAACUCGUUGCAUUUAAGCGAGACUAAAUAACGAUCUUAAAUAACGAAGCUGUUACGGCUAUUACGACCAUGUAAUUUCGUUCAAAAUCGAAAUCUUAUCGUUGUGAGAAUUAAUAAACGCGAUACUGUUAUACAUGUUCGCAAUGAAUCAAAUUCUUCAGCACUAUGCUUGAACAUAUAGAGAAUGGUCGAUAAGUCACUUUCCUUCCCAUUUAAGAGCUUAAUUCUUUUUUAAAUUCUUAUUUCAGACUUUUGAAAAAAAUUGCAAUGUAGAAGCAAGUACAAGUAUUACAAAAAAAAAAAAAAAAAAAAAGAGAAAAGAAUACGACCUGAUUUCUUUUUGCGACAUAACAUUACACCAAACUGUAAUCUUUACAGAAUGCAAUUCUUAUUGAUGUUCAAAUCUUGAGUUUCUACUGCCCUAAAAUCUGCUAUUCUGAUAAUUGACACACCCAUUGAAUGAAAAUGUACCUGGCAUCUCUUUAAAAUAGCGUUAGAACAAUGGAGCGUCGAUUUUGAAAAUAAUAUUCAAUAAUUUUUAUUCGUUGCUCCGUAAUAAUUGUCGUUAUGAUGGAUGUUAACUUUUCUAUUAUAAAUCUUCGAAAGUCUUUAAAAAUUCGAAACAGGUAUUUAAAGAUAUACAACGAAAAAGAGUUUUAUAGAACCAAUCGAUGGGAAGGCGAGUUAUGCGUUACACUAUAUUUAAAAAGAAUUGUUUUUGCCUUGAAGAGUUUAUGAGGAUUAUAAGGAUGGCUUGGUACGGUAGUCAAUGGUACAGCGAGGCUUCCCGUGUUCCGUGAUCAUUGAGCCUUAAGGACGACUUUUAAAGAAACACGUGUAAGACCGAUCUAAUUGCAAAUUGUCUAGGAAAGCGAAGAAUAUUUUUUACUAAGCUCUAGAAUGAAAUUAUGUGGCGCGGACGCGCGAUGACCAGAGCGCGUUUGCUUGUUUAAGAAAUUCGUUAAUUUAAGAAGUCGGACACAGAUAUUAUAAAUGCGUAUACAUAAAGCAUUUUCUGCCUAUUUAACGAACUCUAUAUGUCAUUGAAACUGGAUCUAAUCCCUGCGAAUGUGUCGUAAGAUCUGCGCUCGUAUCGUCAUCGACAACCUGCUACACGAUCUACUUGUUCAUAUUGGAGAAUAAAUUAUUUUGAAAAAUGCUACACGUGAAGAGCGAUUUUUCACCCAUAGUACAGGGCGUGACUAAACGUUUGUUACAUAUUAAAAAUCUAUGUGUGCUUCUUAAUUAUAUGGAACUUAUUCGUACUUAUAAUGGCAAUUUAAUAAUAUAUUUUUUAUGAAAAUUUCUGCAGUUUCCCUUUCUUUUGCUAGUUUCAGUAGGGUCUCUACGAUUUCUAGUUAAUUAGAUAAGAUUGUUCAUUUAGAUUAAGAUUAUUCCACGGAAUAUUAUUAUAUAUUUGACAAUCAUUUUCUACGUAAUUCAUUAUACAUUGGCACUGUGUGAUUAUUAAUAGAAAUUAGAAAUAAUUCUUUGUUUUAUGAUUGAUUUUUUUCCCCUUUAUACAGAAUGUAGAAUGUUUCAGAGUUUCUUUUUUGUGUUACAUGAUACAGUGUGUCAUUGGAAUAAUCUUGCAUAUUGUUUAAGUAUAUAUGUACUUUGUAUGAUAUUUUAAGAUUACCGUCCUAAUAUAAGAAACAAUUUGUGGAAACUACUCUACUUUCGAGUGUUCCAGUUUCCUGCUUAUAAUAAAUGGACCACUUUAUAGACUAUCUUAA